Molecule: long non-coding RNA, 548 nt
Organism: Aethalodelphis obliquidens (Pacific white-sided dolphin)
Lineage: Eukaryota; Metazoa; Chordata; Mammalia; Artiodactyla; Delphinidae
Exons: 2
Source: RefSeq, a predicted model, not a curated record
GUGAAGAGAGGGAAAGCCACCGUGAUUCUGACAAAGGACCCACACAUCAGGUCAAAGGCUUCUGCCUAAUCUGUGUAGCAGAGAUUUCCUCGGCCACAGCUACCUGGGGGUAUGAACAGACAGGUGCAAGCUCUUAUUCUUUCUCCUUGAUUGCCCUGGAUCCUCCUCUUCUCUGCAUUAAGGAUCUCCUCAAGAUUGCAGGCCCUUUACAAUCUUGCCUCUAGAGGAGACCAAUAGACUCUUUCCUUCCAUGCAUAAAAAUCACUCCCUGUUACAACCUUCCCCUUAUCUUCCAGAAGAAACCUACACUUGAAUUUCUGUUAGCUACUCAAAGCGUGCCCCUUGAAUCAGCCAUGUCAGAAUCACCUGGAAACUUCUUGGAACUGCAGAAAGUUGGGACUUGUCCCAAAACUACUGAAUCAGUCUGCAUUCCAACAGGAUGACCUGGCAAGUUCAUUAAUCUGAAACGCAUUGCUUUGAGCAGUUGCAAAUUGAACUCGUAGCCUUUCUGCUCUCGACAGCUAAAUAAAUAUUUCUUCACAAUCGUC